RNAcentral lists this unclassified non-coding RNA (384 nucleotides) under soil metagenome. RNAcentral describes it as "partial contains 5.8S ribosomal RNA, internal transcribed spacer 2, and large subunit ribosomal RNA". The stretch from base 1 to 120 matches the Rfam family "5.8S ribosomal RNA", at positions 35 to 154 of the family's 154-position model. The record is from RNAcentral.
GAUGAAGAACGCAGCGAAAUGCGAUAGGUAAUGUGAAUCGCAGAAUUCAGUGAAUCAUCGAAUCUUUGAACGCACAUUGCGCCCUUUGGUAUUCCUUAGGGCAUGCCUGUUCGAGCGUCACUACACACCUUAUCACAAUAUUUGUGGUCUUGGCAGGAGUGAAUUGCUGGUCUAUGGAAGUAUUCCAGCAGUACACAAUGCUAAAAAAUAUGGGAAGGUUACCAGAUAUGAACAACAGACUUUGUAAAUGGUUGUAGGACCUAGAUCAGUCACAAGUCAUGUCUGGUCCCUUACCUUAAGGACCCCCAUCCUAGAUGAACUAUGGGUUGACCUCGGAUCAGGUAGGAAUACCCGCUGAACUUAAGCAUAUCAAUAAGCGGAGGA